CUGAAGACAGUCAUCUGCCUUGCUAAUGGACCACAGUUACAUGUGUAAUUGAUUAAUUAAGGAAAGAAAAUCACUGCUGAGGCCAAGGGAGGAAUCCUUCAGUAGGCGUUGAAGUGAAAGAGCAGCUCCUCCUGGGCAAAGCAACUGAGUUUGUUUCAGGGAUGUGGUUUCACCAGGACCUCAGCAUGUUUUGCCACUGCCAAUUAGACCAUCAACAUCUUUUCUGGAGCCAUCAGGCAUCAUUCUUCCGGGGAUGGCAGGGAGAGACAAGCUCAAAUGAAGAGAUGAACAGAUGCCGCCGGAUUGUGUGGGCUGGCUACCAACACGAAGUACGGAUGCAGUGACGUUCUCCUUGCUGCCUACCCACGCUUUUCAGGGCUUCUGUUUGCAAGUCCUGCACAGUCAAGUUUCUUCAGUGAACACUCACAACCUUGUCCUUAAAUAUGGGUUAAUUUAAAAGAAGGGAGUAAAAAGGGAGGCCUCCUGCACUGAGACUAGAAUAAAAACGUGGCCUGUUUGGAGGGGGGUUGCAUACUUUUGCAAAAUGUGGAGCGUUAGAAGAACAUUUUGAAUUUCAUUUGGUUAUUUUGGCCUCCAGUUCCUGGGCUAAAACUGUUUUGCAAAGCUGUACAGUGCAAUUAAGAGAUUGAUGCACUUUAAUGGUCAAAGAAAGGAAUUCUGGCCUGGACGUGUGUUUGUGAGUAUACAUACACAUGACCCAGACAUGAGUUCUUCACUAAAAUAAUCUCAUUGGAAAAUAAUUGGUAAGGUAAAGUAAAAUUUAAAAAAAUUAAUUAAUAUAUAAAUAAAUAAUGAGCAAAUUAUCUCAUCAAAGCGAGUUUCUUGUUCUGUUUGUUUUUUCUUUUAAGAAAGGGAGACAGUGGGAGGUCUAUAAGUUCUGAAAUACAUUAUUUUCAAGAAUGAAAGCAUCUGAUAAUAUGCAAGAGAUGAUUACUAUUACUUAGAAGAAGGCUUAAUUAUAUUUUUGAUCGAAUGUUUGAAGUUGGCGUAUUCUUCUGAUGGGGGAGAUUUAGAUUAUAGGAAAAGAUUUUUUCCUGUGGGGGUGGUAAGAGGCUGCCACAGGUUGCCCGGGGAAGUCGCGGCUGACCCGUCCCUAGAGAUGUUCAGGACCAGGUUGGAUGAGGCUUUGAGCAACCUGAUCCAGUGGAAGCUGUCCUUGCCCAUGGCGGGGGAAUUGGAACUGGAUGAUCUUUAAGGUUUGUUCUGACCCAAACCAUUAUGUGAUUCUGUGAUUCUAUGAUUCUAUUAUUUUCUUUGAAAAAUGACAAAGGAGAGAGACGUGUGGCCACAUGAAGGAUUUGAGUAACUAGUGAUGAUAACAACAAGAAAUGGUGAUGCUGACAGACUGACUCUCUGGAGACUUUAUUUCUAUUUCCCCCUACAUAAAACAACAUUUGAUUUUGACAUAGAAAAAAGCAUUUGUAUUUGUUAUUUAUAUAAAAGACCUUGGAUGCUUGCUAAAUGUUAAUUUGUUGAUUAGAAUGUUGAGUGAGAAAGUUUUGUAAUUUCUAAGACAGAGACCUUGACAUUGAAGAUACAGAUAAGGUAUAAAACAGU
Molecule: long non-coding RNA, 1578 nt
Organism: Cuculus canorus (common cuckoo)
Lineage: Eukaryota; Metazoa; Chordata; Aves; Cuculiformes; Cuculidae
Exons: 3
Source: RefSeq, a predicted model, not a curated record